Equus caballus (horse) is the source of this 7986-nucleotide non-coding RNA. The record is from RefSeq and is a predicted model, not a curated record. NCBI's taxonomy places the organism in Eukaryota, Metazoa, Chordata, Mammalia, Perissodactyla, Equidae.
GUAAGCUUUGAGUAUAUUUUGAUCUUUUUCUAGUUCCUUAUGGUGUGAGUUAGAUUGUUGAUUUGAUUUCUCGCUUUUCAAAUGUGGCAUUUCUGCUCUAAGCUUCCAUCUUAGCACUGCUUCUGUGGGAUCUCAUGAGUUCGGGGACAGGGGGUUUCACUUUCAUUUCUCUCAAGAUUUUUUCUAAUUUCCAUUGUGAUUUCUUCUUUGACCCAUUGGUUGCUCAAAAGUGCCGUUUAAUUUCCAUGCAUUUGUGAAUUCCUGGUUUUUCUUUGCUACUGAUUUCUAUUUUCAUCCCAUUUGGGUCAGAAAAGAUAGUUGGUAUGACCUCAAUCUUAUUAAAUGUGCUAAGACUUGUUUUGCCAUGUGGUCUCUCCUGGACGAUGUCCCAUGCACUUCAGGAGAACGUGUGUUUGCUGCUAUUGGGCAGCGUGUUCUCAGCAUGUCUGUUGGGCCGAAUUGGUCCAUCGUGUUUCCUUAUUGAAUUUCUAUCUGGUUGAUCUGUCUUUACUAAAAUGGGGUAUUGGAAUCUCCUCUGAUUAUUGUGUUACUGUCUCUUUUUUCAAUUCAAUCAAGGUUUGCUUCACAUAUUUAGGAGCUCUGCUCUUAGGUGCGUAUACAUUGACAAUUGUUAUAGCUUCCUGGGGAACUGACACUUUGAUCUUUAGGUAACGUCCUUCUUCAUCUCUUGUCGGCUUUUGACCUAGAGUCUAUUUCGUCUGAUGCAAGUACAGCCCCGCCUGGACUCUUCGCUGUCCGUUUGUGUGGAAUCUGCUUGCAUCCCUUCCCUUGCAGCCCGUGUGUCCUGUAUCGUCAGGAGUGUCUGUGGGCAGCCUGCAGUUGGAUCUUGCUUGCCUAUCUAUCAACCGCUCUGAGCCUGCUGAUGGGAGGUCAGUCUGUCCACGUUACCGUCAUCACUGACGGGGGGACUUCCUGUUGCCAUUCUGCUCAUCAUUUUCUGUCUUUAGUUACUUCUCCGUCUUCUCCUCUCCUGUGCCUUCCUUUGUGUUCUGUUGACUUUUUGUAGUGACAAGUCUGAUUCCUUCUCAUUUUCUCUUGUGCAUUCUCCAUAGUUAUUUUUUUUGUGAUUUCCAAGGGGAUUGCACAAAAGAACUUAUAUGUAACCAUCUAUUUUAAACUGAUAACAACGUGCUUCAAUUGCAUAAAAAGCUCUACUCCUUCACACCCCCCAACACUUCCUAUUAUCGAUGUCACAAUGACGUCUUUUUAUAUUCUGUAUCCAUCCACAGCUGGAGCUGUCUCAUAAAGGCUCUGUGCACUGUGUAUUGUUGUCAAGUUGAUUUUCCUGUGGGGAGUGAGGUCGGGGUCUUCCUAUUCUGCCAUCUUGCUCUCAUCUCUGGAGGUUUUAGCUCUCAGCCAGGAUCACCCCAUGCGACACCCUGAGCAGCCCCAUGAGGAAGUCUGCAGAAAAGAGUUAACCCAGCAGGCCCGAGACUACAAUCCUCGGAAAGGCUGCUGGCAAGCCUUUCCCUUGGAGAGAGUCUGGGAAUUUGGCUGCAGGCAGUUCCCUACGAGGCUAUCAAUCUUUCUUCACCAGAAGAGGGGUGCGCUGUGCCUAAAUUCCCUGUGCGAACAACAUGGUUGAUGCUGGACACCUGCUUUCCUCGUGGAGCCUGGAAUCUGGGGCCGUGCCAGCAGAGGGUGCCUACCUGACCAGCUCCCCCUGAAAACUGGGUGCCGAGUCUCUGAUGAGCUUCCCUGGUAGACAGCGUUUCACAUGUGUUGUCACAACUUGCUGAGGAGUUAAGAGCAUCAUGUGUGACUCCAUGGGGAGAGAACCCUGGAAGUUCGCACCUGGUGUCCUCUGGACUCGAAGGGUAACCCAGCCCCUGGCUCUGCUCACCCCUCCCUGCCCCUCCAGCCUUGGGGUGGCAGCAGCUUCCUGCCAAAUCAGGGUGCCCCUCCCCUGUGCUCUCAGCUGCCUUGCACAUUUAUAGUCAGUGUCCUUACUGAAUUUGUGUCUUUCAACUUCCUGGUGUAGCUUCCAGCUCCCUCAUUGGCUCCACACUAGUCAGUCAGUAGCUGUCAUUUCUCUACCAUAAAAAUGUCCCCCUUGGAGCCCUGCACCCCAGGGGACCAAGGGCGUGGGCCCAGCUGAGACAGAGGGACUGGGGCCGGGCAGCUCCUGCACUGACCAGGAGCCCCUGUGUCCGUUUUGCUUGUGGCCACGUGUUGUCCAUUAUCUCUGGGAAGCAGCCCGCCCGGCUCCUCUGAGUCUGUAUAAUUUAUUACCUUCACACCCACACAGAAUGUUAAUGUGACUGCUUAUCUCCAACUCAGCGAGCAGGACAGAUGCUCAGGAGGGAAGCAGCUGCUGCAAUGGCAGCCUGGGCUGUCGGGAAGGGGCCCUGCAGACGGACGAACAGACAGACAGGCAGCCCUGGUGAGAACUCGACUCUGCUUCCUCGCGUCCGUGUGGCCCUGAGCAGUUCUGUCAUCAUCCAGGCCGCAUGGCUGCCCUGGAGCCGGGGGUAGGGCGAAUCCUAUUUGCUGACCACCCUCCACUCCCACCGUCCCUUGGGGAAGCCCCCUCCAUUCUCUCAGGCCUGUGGACUUGGGGGGGGGUGGACACGACAGCCCCACGCCUGCUGCCAGGCUCCAAGGGUGACCCCAGUGACCCUGUGCUGGGAGGGUGGAGGCGGAGGGGUCGUCAGGUGUGCCACCUUAAAACGAGGAAGAUGAACCCUGCUGCUCAAGAGCUCCCAGAGUCGGGGUCACGGGCAGGAAUGAGGGACGAGGCUCCCGUGACGGAAUCAAGGGGGAGUGCGCCCUCCACGUGGUGGGGAACUGCUGUCCGGGCCUCAGACCUCGGCUCCUGACCCGCCAGGGCUGCUGGGAGGUUAACAUUCCGCACAAAACAUCUAAUUCACAGGGUCAGACCCUCAAAGCUGCCUUCUCCCGGGGGCUCCCCGGCGCUGUGUGGUUGCUCAGAUGCUCAUAGGAGCCCGACGGCUGCUCGUCUCAGGCCCCCAGGACAGCCCGCCGGCCCCGCCGCUGCACCUUGGACGUGGCCUCUCCGAGACGAGGGCCACACUGGUCCUGGGGGACCCGGACCGGGCUGGGAUCCCGCAUCUAGUCGGCACAGCACAGGAAGCAGAGACCACAGCACAGGGCACUCCUGGUGACAGAGUACAAGGCCGAGGGGACGGCGGGAGGGAGAAACCAUUUCUCUAGGCGUUUGUCCCUUUACCCACACAGUCAUUCAUUCCUUUACCCACGCAAUCAUUCAUUCCUUCACCCAUGCAGUCGUUGUCCCUUCACCCACGCAGUCAUUCGUUCAUUCAUUCAGCACAUAUCCAUUGGGUUUCUACUUCCUCCCAGGCUGUUUUAUGCACAUGAAGCACAACCUUGAAUACAACAGCCCCAACUCCCAGCCUCAUGGAGGUUAUAUGCAGGUAGAGGAGACCAACAUUUCAUAAACAAAGUAUACAAUGUCAGCUGGUAAUUAGAGCUCUGGGCGAGAAUAAAGAAGCCAGAAAGGGCAGAGAAGGGGGAGGCAGGGCUGCCAGGUGUGGUUGUCCAGGUUGUGCACUGCCUGAUUUUGGCAGCACAGUUCACCUCACAGUUGCCCUAGAGUCACACAGUCACUGGGGCGGGUUCCCAGCAGAUGGCAGUAACAUGUCUGAGAAAGGGCCCAUUUUUAAUUUACCCAAAACCGUCUCCUGGGCUCACAGCCCCGGGAGGAGGGGGUCCUGGCAGGAUGACACAGAGUGAGGGACCCUCAUUUCCCUCCCACCUGGGGUGAUGCAGAAGCUGGAAGGGCUCUGAGACUGGACCAGAGUGAGCAGAGGGUGUGGUGGGAGGGGAUGAGGUCAGGGUGGGGCAGGGGCUGGGGCACUGGGGGAGGGCAGGGUAGGAGGGUCUGUUGGCCUUGGGCUACCUCCCAGGACUUAACCCCUCGCUCUCCUAGGCCCAUCCCUGCCCUGUGGAAAGGGGAUAGAUGGAGUCCCCUCGAGGUCACCGCAGCACUGGCUCCUUGCUCACACAGCGAUGGUCCCCUGCUGCUGUCAUUCUGGUCACCGUCACUGGUCAGCGGCCCAGACCCUUGGCCAGCCUGUAGGGUCCACCCCAGCCUUGCCGUGUACUAGCUGUGUAGCUGUGCAGUUCCUACCUCUGGUCUAGUAGGACUGUUUGGUGGUGACAUGAAGGACCACAUGCCGGGCACAGAGCAAGUAUGUGUGAGCGUCACCUCUUGGUCACGGUCACCACCCCUGACGAGGGCGUCCACGCAGCUAUGUCCCCUGACAUCACAGGGAGGCAGGACCUGGCUAGGGGGAGGGCCUGAAGGAGCCUAGUCCUGUCCCCAGACCAGGGCCAAGAAGACCUCAGAGGAGAACCAGGAAGGGGCUGGUUCCAAUGCCCCCCACCCCCCCAAACAGGAAGCUGACCAGGGUGUGACCUGCCUGAGGUCACAGGGCAGAGCUGGGGCCAUGGGCCAGGUGCUUCCUGCAGCUUAAUUCACUCACUGCCCACCAGGACCCAUAGUGCAGCUGCUGUCAUCACUCGUUCUUUGUAUGAGGAAGUGGAGAUGCAGAGAGGGGAAGAAACUGGCCCAAAGACACAUAGCUUGAAAGUGGGAAAACCGGGGUCCACACCCAGGCAGCUCUGCCCCCGACACUCAGCUCCUAAGGAGGCACCACAUGUCUUGGCCCCCACACAGACUCUAGGUCGUCAGGACCUGGGCAGGCACGGGAGGCGUGCAGCGUCUGGAGGUGAGUAGUGGGGGGGCGGUGGUGGUGACUGUGGAGGACUGGAGAGGCUUCGCCCUCCUAAGGGCAGUGACCUUCUUGUCACAGAAACAAGCUUGUGCCAGCCCAGCCCCCUCUCCAGGGGCCCUUCAGCGUGUGCCUGAGAGCAGCCCCUGGUAAAGCCGGGUCUCAGGGCACAGGGGCAGCCAAUCCUGGACACCUGCUCUGGAGGGAGGGGCGUCGCUGGUUCAGAAGUGUCCUGCUGAGCCAAGCGAGGACACAGGGCUGGCCUCAGGAGCAGGGCAUUUGUCUGAAGAUGGCAGCUCUCCUGGCAGCUGGUGGGGGAUCCAGUGGGGACGGGGCGCCCCUCCCCGCAGAGCAGGAGGCCGGGCUGAGGCGGGUGAACCGGCACAGGCGGUGUCCCUCGUGGGCCAGGCAGAUGUGGUGACAGCUGCGAGGAGGAAGGAGAGUUCGAGACGAUGGGAACGGGAGCCCGCUGGGCCGUCAGGUGCAGGGGUCCCACCGCAGGUUCUGGGUGGGGGCAGUGACACAACAGGGGGUGGUCUCGCGGGCGCAGGCGGGCGGAUGGCAUUCUGCCUCUAGAAAGCCUGUGGGCACCCAGCGUCCUCUGUGCGAUGCUCAGACGGGCUGGAUGACGCUCUCGGGACUCGGGGACGCAGGGCAGAGCGAGCGUAACUGUGACGUGCGGUGAACCCGUCUCUCACUCCAGCAUCCGGAGCGUCUGGAAAAUGUGCUUUAUAAAGGGCUCUGCGGCUGCAAAGGCGGAUUUCUCUGGCUCCGUCUGAAGGGACACUGUCUCUGUUCCAGUCUGAUAAUGGCUUUAAGGAGCACAUGUUUAUGCCAUUGUGAAAGAAAGCAUGACUUGCUUGUCCAAAACUAAUGGGUUUGAAAAUCCCCAAGGUGACGAGCUGGUGGCCGGCAGUGACAGGCCCCAGCCUCCCAGGGUCACGUGGUGGGACAAGCUCGCCUGGGCCCCAAGGUUCCCAUGUGAACACUGCGGAGUCGGACGGGCUCUGAUGCGUCACUACUGGCCUGCAGAAGCUGUCCUUGUGUCCGGGGAUGGGCCCUCCACUGCCCGGGCCUGCGUCACAGGGGGCUGAGUGGACACGGAGAACCAAAGCCCACCCUGAACUGAGGGGCGGUCAGAGAACAGCACCUGGAAGAGGCCCCUCUACUGGGCCGCCUGAGGAGCAGACACCCACUAGGACCUCCCACUGCAAGCGCCAUCCCACGUCUGCGCCCCUGGCCCUCUUAACUGGGCCUGGUUUCACCUCUGCGCCCCCCCAUAGACCCCAGCUGAACGCUGCUCUGCCACAACUUUGCUCUGCCCACACCCUGAGGCCAGGAACAGUGCUGCCCACCAUGUCCCUCCUAACUCCUGGUCCUGUGGUUCACAUCAGGAACGGAUUCCCCAACAGAGAACUCAGACACGGAUGGCUCAGAAAUGUGACUGAGGGGUCUGUGAUCUGCCCUGAGAUUUGGUCUGGACGUUUCUGUGAGGCUGUUUCUGGAUGAGAUCAACAUUGAAAUUGGUGGACUUUGAGUAAAGCCGAUUGCCCUUUCUCAUGUGGUGAGCCUGGUCCAAUCAGUGGAAGGCCUGGAGAGAACCAAAGGCCGACCUCCCCGAGGUCAAGGGGGAAUUCUGCAGCAGACGCCUUCGGAUGGGAACUGCACCAUCAGCUCUCCUGGUCUGCAGCCUGCCGGCCAGCCCUGCCCUUCUGGACGCACGAGCCUCCACCCUCAUUGAGCCGAUUCCUCCCACAAGUCCCUUUCUAGACACCCACACUUCUCCUCGCUUCUGCUUCCCUGGAGAAUGCUGACUGCGUGGGCUCUGAGUGUGCACCACAGGGCCGGCUCGACCCUGGAACUCAGGUGGGGCCUUGGGAAGGUGUGGGGAUGGCCUGGAUGUGCCCGGGGUGCUGGGACUCACAGGGGGGCUGAGCAGCCCCUUCCUGACUCCCUCAGGACGCUUCUCUGCAGCAUGAGUCUCUCUCUCCUUUAUCAACACCCCGAAUUCUCCCUACCACGUCUCCUCCGGCUGCUCCAUGGAUUAACGAGUGUGUCUGCGAAGCGCAGAAUUCCGGAAACCUUAGAUUCCAGCAGUCCCGGUGCUGGCGCCGUCAGGGCCUUCGGUGCUGAGGGUCCGUGUGAUCCCAUGGGUUGCAGGGCCCUGGGCAUCUCCGGGGAGGGUGGACUCUCUCCUGGUUUGAGCAGGGCGGUGAUUUUGUGUCACAGCGGUGUGGGCAGAGGAUGUUUCUGAAGCUUGUGAUAUUUUGACAAAAAUUUGCUUCCAAAAAUUUAUGAGCCUGAGCAACACAUUCGUUUUUGUGACACAGAAUGAAAGAAGGCAUACAUUUUUCAAGUUUCCUUCUUAGUUCAUUGGGCACCAUGUGCAUUACUCCUCAGCUUGUCAAAAUGUCAUAAUUCAUGAAUUUGUUUUUCAAAAAUGUGUGAUUGUCAGGGAAGUGGGGGAGGGGGCCCCACCUGAGAAGGACUUUGGCGCUUAUCUCUAUCUGUCCUUGAGCGUCAUCCCUCAUGGGGAUAGGGAGCCAACCCCAGGACGGAGGGCGGGCAGGGAGCUGCCGUCCGGGCUGGAAGCUCCCAGCUCCUCUGCCCACUGUGUGCACAGACCUGGGCUCAGCGCUGCCCUUGGCUCCCAGGGCCCUCAGACAACGGGGUGUCCUUGGCAGGAGUGGGGCAGCCUGGUCAGGGGCCCCAAGGGCCCCCCAACCUCCUGCAGGAGCCCCCUGUCCAGGGGCCCCACGGAGGACUGGCCCCCAGCCCCAUGCUCCAGGAACCCCCAGUCACCCCCGUCCUCAGGCCCCUCGGCCUCCCUGGGGGUCACACCAGCUCCAAACAGCAGAGCUGUUCCCAGCAACCUGGAGGAGGCCCCAGCACGGCCAGCAGAGCAGUCUCAGAGCAGUGGGGUCUCCAGGGACACGAUUCAAGUACGGACUGGCUGACCCCCUCAGGGAGCCCGGCCCAGGCCUGGGGUGAAGAUGAGCCCAGGGACAGGGACACAGGCCCCCACGGGGGCUCUUAGACUGGGAGCCGAGGCACGAUCUGUGGGGCCCAGUGCAAGAUGGAAAUGCAGAGCCCCCUGUUCAAACCCAGGAAAAAGGGCUGUGACAGGCGCCCAGGUAUGAUCCUCUUUCCACUUCUGUGGUUUCUCCAGACUUGUCGUGGGCUUUUCAUUUGCUCUUUAAUGUUCUAGAUAAACAAAAGUUACAUGUUUAAGUUGUUUGCAUGAACUUUA